AAAGCGGCUGCAGGGUUGUAGAGGCGAAGGUCCUUACUACUUAUCAAACCUUUAUGGCGCUAAGGUGGUCCUCUAAAAAUGCGAGUUGGAGAAAUUAGGAAGAGCCAGUGUAUGGCGUCACCAGGGGUGUUUUCAUGGAAGGGGAUUGAUCCUUAGGAGGCUAGGUGAUGACGUUUGAUUAGGAUAGUUUAUUUUGCCGAGAAUUAUGCCACGAUCGUUUGACAUCCUGAUCGUUGAAUAUGAUUGAAUAUGCUGCUGGCUACUUUUAAAAAAGGUCGUAGGGAGCCGUUAUCUAACUUCAACCACCUGAAUAUGAAAACGUACUUAGGUAACUUGCAAGAUUAAAAUUAAUUUGCUGGUGGUUCUGAACAAAUAUGUACGGCUGUUUUAUCCCAGGUCCAUUAUUUUGAAGACUGAGUUUUAUUCCUGAGGAUAAAGAAAGUGCUUGGAAAAGUCUGUUUUAUAUCGCAAAAGUGCGAAUCCCCAGACUGAUAGUAUGAAGGGCCUGUACAGUAUAGCAGACUUGGAAACACACCCAGUCAUCUUGAAGAGUCUCAAAAGGACCCUACCACUGAGAAAUCAAGAUGGCAGUCCACUAUGGGGAAUUGAGGAAAAUGGAUUAAUACAAGAGUGCUGUGAUAAAAUACCAUCAAGACAGGGUUGUUUUAACAUGGAUUCAGUGAAAUGAAUGAAACCUAUUUUAACCAACAAAUGGACAGUGGAUUUGACUUUCUAAAGACUUUUCUAAUAAUUUAAACCAGUUCAUUUUUGACAUUUGGAGAAGAUGGCACAUUAACACAGAUGGUAGUGUGUAUGCCUGAAAUAUUUUUUUUUGUACAUUUUGAUUUGUUUGAAUAUGACCUCAUGGAAUGUUAACGUUAAUAAAAU
This is a long non-coding RNA of Fukomys damarensis (Damara mole-rat), 888 nucleotides long. RefSeq lists it as uncharacterized. The transcript has 5 exons. Lineage: Eukaryota; Metazoa; Chordata; Mammalia; Rodentia; Bathyergidae. The record is from RefSeq and is a predicted model, not a curated record.